Dipodomys ordii (Ord's kangaroo rat) is the source of this 227-nucleotide long non-coding RNA. RefSeq lists it as uncharacterized. The transcript is spliced from 3 exons. The record is from RefSeq and is a predicted model, not a curated record. NCBI's taxonomy places the organism in Eukaryota, Metazoa, Chordata, Mammalia, Rodentia, Heteromyidae.
AGUGACCAUGGACUUGAUCCUCAACUUUUCCCUAGAAACCUGGGUCCUCCUGGCUACCAGCCUGGUGCUCCUCUAUCUAUAUGGGACCUAUCCACAUAGGGUUUUUAAGAAGUUGGGAAUUCCUGGCCCGAAACCUCUGCCCUUUUUUGGAACUGUUCUUGGUUAUCGUAAGGGUGUUAUGGUUUUUGAUGUGGAAUGUUAUAAAAAAUAUGGAAAACUCUGGGGGU